CACUUUUCCUGUCGGUGAAACCCUUUGCCCUUCCUCUUCUUCGUUUCUGUUUCACGAUCUGAUCCACAAUCAAGCAAUACAUCCUCCACUUCGUUUUUCCUUUUACUCAUCAUCGAUCAGAAAGAUUAAAAAUAUUCGUUUCUUACAUCUUAGUCCCAUCCUCAUCGUCCUCUUCGUCGCCUUUAAAAUAUCAGUUCUAUGUGUGAUUUAUUUUUAGUGUUCUCUAUCUUUAUGUACAUUGAGUAUAUAUAAACCUUCAGAUUGUCCUCUCCUGUACCUUUAUUUUUUGCCGUUUGAAAAUCUCUGAAACUCUCACAUAGUGUCAAAUUCACAGAUCACUUCUCCGACUUGAAGGCCGGUCCGUGUUAAGACUAGACUCCGGAGGUCAGUUGAUGUCCGUCAAUAUGAUCCUUCUUGAUGCCAAGAAGUGAAAGUUGGUUCUUAACUCCAUGAGCAACAGAGCAAGUGAGUUAGCUAGGAGGCAGCUCCAGUCCAUGUCUGCACUUCUGAAGGUCAUUAUUUUUGAGCCUACUUAAACAUAUUAUAUUCUUACAUUAGGUUGUUAGUGUCACAUGAUAGGCCGAGAAAUCUUGGGCCUAUUGACAUUGGCGAUUGAGAUUUUGAUAGAUUGUUAUAGAUUUGGUAAUAACGGUGAAGUAUUCAUCUUCUGGAUGGAACUAUUUUUCUUUUUAUGAGAUACAAAAAAAGAUUAACGAGUGUGUAUGGAUAUAAUAAUCAACCCGUGAACAAAAUUCCGAGCUAAGUAUUAGGACAGUGGUGAAGACAUUGACAUUGUCGUCUCCAGCUCCCAAAGAAACGAAGAGAAUUUGGAUGAAACAAUGUUGUACUAAAGAAUAAACCUGAGCAGGGUGGGAAUAACAAUCAGGAAAUGAUAUGUCAGGUGCUGGAGUAGUCAGAAGGAGCCACAUUACGAGAACAAAACAAUCACAUAACACUCCUACACAAACUUUCAAUUACUUAGUAGCUAUGCAGUUAAAUUUUAUUUUUGUUCGGUUUAUUUGUAAGUUCUUAAAAUCCUCUGUUAUACUAUUCCGAGUUUCCGACCA
Long non-coding RNA from Brassica napus (rape), 1067 nucleotides. RefSeq lists it as uncharacterized. NCBI's taxonomy places the organism in Eukaryota, Viridiplantae, Streptophyta, Magnoliopsida, Brassicales, Brassicaceae. The record is from RefSeq and is a predicted model, not a curated record. The transcript has 4 exons.